UACAGAGGGGGCAAGCGUUAUUCGGAAUUAUUGGGCGUAAAGGGCGCGUAGGCGGCUUGGCAAGUGGAUGGUGAAAUCCCUCGGCUUAACCGAGGAACUGCCCUCCAAACUGCUUCGCUUGAGACCGGGAGAGGUGAGUGGAAUUCCCAGUGUAGCGGUGAAAUGCGUAGAUAUUGGGAGGAACACCAGUGGCGAAGGCGGCUCACUGGACCGGUACUGACGCUGAUGCGCGAAAGCGUGGGGAGCAAACGGG
RNAcentral lists this ribosomal RNA (253 nucleotides) under uncultured bacterium. RNAcentral describes it as "partial 16S ribosomal RNA". It matches the Rfam family "Bacterial small subunit ribosomal RNA", at positions 524 to 776 of the family's 1533-position model. The record is from RNAcentral.